GUAUAAAGUAGCCAUAAGUUUCCGUGUCCAACUUUGAUCGACCGUCUUAUUUGAAUUUUUUUAUUAAUAUUUUUGUUGUUAUUAUAUUAUAAAACAUGAAUAAUAGUUUAUGCAUGAUUUAUGUUUUUUUUAUUUUUUUUAAAAAAAAUCAAAUAAAACGGAUAAUUAUAGUUAGACACGGAAACUCAUGCUGCGCUUAUU
Molecule: non-coding RNA, 201 nt
Organism: Oryza glumipatula
Lineage: Eukaryota; Viridiplantae; Streptophyta; Magnoliopsida; Poales; Poaceae
Source: Rfam